CCUACGGGAGGCAGCAGUAGGGAAUCUUUCACAAUGGGCGAAAGCCUGAUGGAGCAACGCCGCGUGCAGGAUGAAGGCCCUCGGGUUGUAAACUGCUUUUAUAAGCGAGAAAUAUGAUGGUAACUUAUGAAUAAGGAUCGGCUAACUACGUGCCAGCAGCCGCGGUCAUACGUAGGAUCCGAGCAUUAUCCGGAGUGACUGGGUGUAAAGAGUUGCGUAGGUGGCAUAAUAAGUAGCUAGUGAAAUCUGGUGGCUCAACCAUUCAGACUAUUAGCUAAACUGUUAAGCUCGAGACCGUUAGGGGUAACUGGAAUUUCUAGUGUAGGAGUGAAAUCCGUAGAUAUUAGAAAGAACACCAAUAGCGUAGGCAGGUUGCUGGGACGGUUCUGACACUAAGGCACGAAAGCGUAGGGAGCAAACGGGAUUAGAUACCCCGGUAGUC
This 442-nucleotide ribosomal RNA is filed under the name uncultured bacterium. RNAcentral's name for it is "partial 16S ribosomal RNA". It matches the Rfam family "Bacterial small subunit ribosomal RNA", at positions 338 to 795 of the family's 1533-position model. The record is from RNAcentral.